Molecule: ribosomal RNA, 253 nt
Filed under: uncultured bacterium
Lineage: Bacteria
Description: partial 16S ribosomal RNA
Rfam family: Bacterial small subunit ribosomal RNA
Source: RNAcentral
UACGAAGGGGGCUAGCGUUGCUCGGAAUCACUGGGCGUAAAGCGCACGUAGGCGGAUUGCUAAGUCAGGGGUGAAAUCCUGGAGCUCAACUCCAGAACUGCCUUUGAUACUGGCGACCUUGAGUCCGGGAGAGGUGAGUGGAACUGCGAGUGUAGAGGUGAAAUUCGUAGAUAUUCGCAAGAACACCAGUGGCGAAGGCGGGUCUCUGGACAGUUCCUGACACUGAGACACGAAGGCCAGGGGAGCAAACGGG